This 465-nucleotide ribosomal RNA is filed under the name uncultured Klebsiella sp. RNAcentral's name for it is "bacterial SSU rRNA". It matches the Rfam family "Bacterial small subunit ribosomal RNA", at positions 338 to 795 of the family's 1533-position model. Lineage: Bacteria; Pseudomonadati; Pseudomonadota; Gammaproteobacteria; Enterobacterales; Enterobacteriaceae. The record is from RNAcentral.
CCUACGGGCGGCAGCAGUGGGGAAUAUUGCACAAUGGGCGCAAGCCUGAUGCAGCCAUGCCGCGUGUGUGAAGAAGGCCUUCGGGUUGUAAAGCACUUUCAGCGGGGAGGAAGGCGGUGAGGUUAAUAACCUCAUCGAUUGACGUUACCCGCAGAAGAAGCACCGGCUAACUCCGUGCCAGCAGCCGCAGUAAUACGGAGGGUGCAAGCGUUAAUCGGAAUUACUGGUCGUAAAGCGCACGCAGGCGGUCUGUCAAGUCGGAUGUGAAAUCCCCGGGCUCAACCUGGGAACUGCAUUCGAAACUGGCAGGCUAGAGUCUUGUAGAGGGGGGUAGAAUUCCAGGUGUAGCGGUGAAAUGCGUAGAGAUCUGGAGGAAUACCGGUGGCGAAGGCGGCCCCCUGGACAAAGACUGACGCUCAGGUGCGAAAGCGUGGGGAGCAAACAGGAUUAGAUACCCGUGUAGUC